UGAGGAAUCUGUCCAUCGGCGGGGGAUAGCCGGCCCAACGGCCGGGUAAUACCGCGUACGACCCAAUGGAGACAUCUCCGCUGGGUGAAAGCAGCAAUGCACCGAAAGAGUGCCUCGCGGCCUAUCAGCUAGUUGGUGGGGUAACGGCUCACCAAGGCGACGACGGGUAGCUGGUCUGAGAGGAUGGCCAGCCACAUUGGGACUGAGACACGGCCCAGACUCCGUAGGGAGG
Molecule: ribosomal RNA, 232 nt
Filed under: uncultured bacterium
Lineage: Bacteria
Description: partial 16S ribosomal RNA
Rfam family: Bacterial small subunit ribosomal RNA
Source: RNAcentral